Molecule: ribosomal RNA, 327 nt
Filed under: uncultured eukaryote
Lineage: Eukaryota
Description: partial 18S ribosomal RNA
Rfam family: Eukaryotic small subunit ribosomal RNA
Source: RNAcentral
CCCUUAGAUGUUCUGGGCCGCACGCGCGCUACACUGACGAAUGCAACGAGCUUAUAACCUUGGCCGAAAGGUCUGGGUAAUCUCCAAAUUUCGUCGUGAUGGGGAUAGAUUAUUGCAAUUAUUAAUCUUCAACGAGGAAUGCCUAGUAAGCGCAAGUCAUCAGCUUGCGUUGAUUACGUCCCUGCCCUUUGUACACACCGCCCGUCGCUCCUACCGAUUGAAUGGUCCGGUGAAGCGCUCGGACCGCGGCCUCUUGACGGUUCGCUGUCGAUUGGCUGUGGGAAGUUCGUUAAACCUUAUCAUUUAGAGGAAGGAGAAGUCAUAACA